Molecule: RNA transcript, 1952 nt
Organism: Cercocebus atys (sooty mangabey)
Lineage: Eukaryota; Metazoa; Chordata; Mammalia; Primates; Cercopithecidae
Gene: SPATA1
Gene name: spermatogenesis associated 1
Exons: 15
Source: RefSeq, a predicted model, not a curated record
AUGGUGCACACGACGGCCGGGCCGAUUCGUGGGUCGGUGGGUCGUAGGCCGUGGGUCGUAGGCCGUGGGUCGGAGGGGCCAGACAACUAAGCAGCGCGCGGCGGGGGCGGGGCUCCGAACUUUGUCUCUAAGUUUCCGGUUUUGUGCUCAGCGGCUCCACCCUCGAUGCGCAUGCGCGCCUUUCCCACCCUCUGUUCCGGCUCCUCACCAGGCCAGGAGCGCGAGCCUGGAGGAGGGGGAGGAGAAGGGGCGGAGCAGUCGGUGGGCGCUUCUGCUGGGGAGGCGAGCGCGACUGGACUCUUAAGUUCCCCUUUCCUCUGCAGAGGGACCGAUUAGGGAGAGAGACCAGAAAUGAGUGGAAUGCUAUCUUAAGCCAAAAAACUAUUACAAUUUUUAUUUAAUACUACUUAAAUGAAGAAAGAUAAAAAAAGAAACAAAAUUCAAAUUGAUAAUUAUCCCAUUCAGACAUUAGUAAAUAUGUCGCUCAAUCCAAGUCGACCUUCCUCAUCAGAGUUGGUGGAACUUCAUGUUUUUUAUGUCCCUGAAGGAUCAUGGAACUAUAAGCUAAAUACCAUUUCAACAGAAGUUGUUAACAAAUUCAUUUCAGCUGGAUUUCUAAGAGUAUCUCCUCAACUUACUUUACGAGCCCUGAGGGAGCGUCUUGGUGAAUUCCUGGGUGAAGAUGCUAUUGCAGAAAAAUUUUUAUUUCUGAAAUGCAUUGGAAAUAAUUUAGCUGUGGUGAAGGAAAAGCAAGAAUCAGAACUGAAACUCAAAUCAUUUGCUCCUCCAUAUGCUCUUCAACCAGAAUUAUAUUUGCUUCCUAUAAUGGACCAUUUAGGAAAUAUCUAUUCACCAUCAUCAACAGUUAUUUUAGAUGAGCAGCAGACUAAUAAUGGUGCUAAUGAGGCUGAUGGAACAAUCCACAGACCAAUUAGUGUAACUUUGUUCAAGGAGGAACUUGGAAGAGAUCCCAGUUUGUUAGAAAACACUUUGAAAGAGCUUCCUAACAAGAAUCAGGAAGAAGCAUCAGCUGGGGGAAAAGCCACUGCGGAAAAAAGCCAGAUUGCAAAAAAUCAAAUUAGAAAUUCUGAGUUGCCAAGAUCAUUGGAAGAUUCAAAUAAUGAUUGCUUUGGCACCAAAAAAAGUCAGUGUCUCUGGGACAAUGAAGAUGAUACAGCUAUCAGUAGAAGACAGGACAAUCAGAUAGGUGAAAAAGAGUACAUCACCCUACCAGAUCACCCUUCACUUCAUUGUCAACCUGUUCUUUCUUCAAGAAUAAUUGAUAUCUCUUUAUUACCAACUGAAAGAGAGAAGAUUAUCAAACAAAUGAAACAAGUAAAGGAAGAAAGAAGGUAUCUGGAAAGAAAUAGAGAAGAACUAGUAAAAACAGUUGAAAAGCUAUUUGAACAAAGCAAAUUAAAACGAUAUCAUGCCUAUGACGGUUGGAAGAAAAAAUACUUGGAAACAAAGAAAGUCACAGCAUCAGUGGAGGAGGUUUUAACAAAACUUCGAGAAGAUUUGGAACUCUACUAUAAACAAUUGCUCAUGCAACUUGAAGCCAGGGAGAUCAAGAUGAGACCAAAGAAUCUGGCAAACAUCACAGACUCCAAGAAUUAUCUGAUAAUCCAGAUCACUGAGGUGCAGCAUGCAAUUGACCAACUUAAGAGAAAACUGGAUACUGACAAAACGAAACUCACAGUAGAAGUUAAGAUGAGAAAACAAGCAGUUUCAGAUUUACGAACAUUGAAAACUGAACUGGCACAGAAAAAAAAAAUAAUACAUCUCUACAAUCUCAAUUAGUUGCUAGAAGUGUGCCUAGCUAGGAGCUCUACAGAAGAUUUUGUUUAUGAUGAAUCAGCCAGAUCAAAAGGGAGCAUUGGCUGCUGCAAUACAUUCCGACCAGAUCUGACUUUGUUCAUCAUAAGACAUCACAAAGAGGAAGUCACAAGCAU